RNAcentral lists this transfer RNA (76 nucleotides) under candidate division WWE3 bacterium. RNAcentral's name for it is "tRNA-Ala". It matches the Rfam family "tRNA". From Rfam's summary of the family: Transfer RNA (tRNA) molecules are approximately 80 nucleotides in length. Their secondary structure includes four short double-helical elements and three loops (D, anti-codon, and T loops). The record is from RNAcentral. Lineage: Bacteria; candidate division WWE3.
GGGCUGUUAGCUCAGUUGGUAGAGCGCUUCAUUCGCAUUGAAGAGGCCAGCGGUUCGACUCCGCUACAGUCCACCA